AUUGAACGCUGGCGGCAGGCCUAACACAUGCAAGUCGAACGGUAACAGGAAGCAGCUUGCUGCUUUGCUGACGCGUGGCGGACGGGUGAGUAAUGUCUGGGAAACUGCCUGAUGGAGGGGGAUAACUACUGGAAACGGUAGCUAAUACCGCAUAACGUCGCAAGACCAAAGAGGGGGACCUUCGGGCCUCUUGCCAUCGGAUGUGCCCAGAUGGGAUUAGCUAGUGGGUGGGGUAACGGCUCACCUAGGCGACGAUCCCUAGCUGGUCUGAGAGAAUGACAGGCAAACUGGAACUGAGAACAGGGUCAGACUCCCAAGGGAGGCAGGAGGGGGGAAUAUUGCACAAUGGGCGCAAGCCUGAUGCAGCCAUGCCGCGUGUAUGAAGAAGGCCUUCGGGUUGUAAAGUACUUUCAGCGGGGAGGAAGGGAGUAAAGUUAAUACCUUUGCUCAUUGACGUUACCCGCAGAAGAAGCACCGGCUAACUCCGUG
This 489-nucleotide ribosomal RNA is filed under the name uncultured bacterium. Its description in RNAcentral is "partial 16S ribosomal RNA". It matches the Rfam family "Bacterial small subunit ribosomal RNA", at positions 30 to 507 of the family's 1533-position model. The record is from RNAcentral.